UAAUUUUGUGUUAGGUGAACCAAGUAUUCAUCAGUGAACACAUAAGAAAGCAUAUUGGAGAUGGAAGAAAUAAGGAGCUAAGAACAGUUUGAGAAGAAAGAUUAGGGUUCUUGGUAUGAAGCAUAUGGGUAUAAGGAAACCUUGUCACUGCACUCAACCAAAUGAACAAAUUUAGUAAUGUUAUCGGGAAAAAAAAUAGAUGGAGAAGAGAAACUUCCAGAAAGUCAGAAAAAGGUAAAGUAAAAAAAUGAACUAAUAGUUCAUGGCUACUAUUUUAUUACUAUUCAGGUUUAAGACUUGGCAUUUAAGAAGCCUAAUAGUUAUAUUAGAAGCUCAAACCUACAUUAAAAACUAAUUUAGCCAUGAAUAUAAACAUUUA
Antechinus flavipes (yellow-footed antechinus) is the source of this 379-nucleotide long non-coding RNA. RefSeq lists it as uncharacterized. The transcript has 3 exons. NCBI's taxonomy places the organism in Eukaryota, Metazoa, Chordata, Mammalia, Dasyuromorphia, Dasyuridae. The record is from RefSeq and is a predicted model, not a curated record.